UAGGGAAUCUUCGGCAAUGGGGGGAACCCUGACCGAGCAACGCCGCGUGAGUGAAGAAGGUUUCCGGAUCGUAAAGCUCUGUUGUUAAGGAAGAACGAGUGUGAGAAUGGAAAGUUCAUGCUGUGACGGUACUUAACCAGAAAGGGACGGCUAACUACGUGCCAGCAGCCGCGGUAGUACGUAGGUCCCGAGCGUUGUCCGGAUUUAUUGGGGGUAAAGCGCGAGCAGGCGGACUAGCCAGUCAGUCUUAAAAGUUCGGGGCUUAACCCCGUGAUGGGAUUGAAACUACUAGUCUAGAGUAUCGGAGAGGAAAUUGGAAUUCCUAGUGUAUCGGUGAAAUGCGUAGAUAUUAGGAAGAACACCAGUGGCGAAGGCGACUUUCUGGACGAACACUGACGCUGAGGCGCGAAAGCCAGGGGAGCGAACGGG
RNAcentral lists this ribosomal RNA (429 nucleotides) under Verrucomicrobiota bacterium. RNAcentral describes it as "Verrucomicrobia bacterium partial 16S ribosomal RNA". It matches the Rfam family "Bacterial small subunit ribosomal RNA", at positions 355 to 776 of the family's 1533-position model. The record is from RNAcentral. Lineage: Bacteria; Pseudomonadati; Verrucomicrobiota.